UACGAGGGGGGCGAGCGUUGUUCGGAAUUAUUGGGCGUAAAGGGUGCGUAGGCGGUUUGGUAAGUCUUGUGUGAAAUCUCCAGGCUCAACUUGGAGUCUGCACGAGAAACUGCCGGGCUUGAGUGUGGGAGAGGACGAGGGAAUUCCUGGUGUAGCGGUGAAAUGCGUAGAUAUCAGGAGGAACACCGGUGGCGAAAGCGCUCGUCUGGCCCAAUACUGACGCUGAUGCGCGAAAGCUAGGGGAGCAAACGGG
This 253-nucleotide ribosomal RNA is filed under the name uncultured bacterium. Its description in RNAcentral is "partial 16S ribosomal RNA". It matches the Rfam family "Bacterial small subunit ribosomal RNA", at positions 524 to 776 of the family's 1533-position model. The record is from RNAcentral.